RNAcentral lists this long non-coding RNA (1802 nucleotides) under Carica papaya (papaya). RNAcentral describes it as "long non-coding RNA (CPAP_LNC007210)". Lineage: Eukaryota; Viridiplantae; Streptophyta; Magnoliopsida; Brassicales; Caricaceae. The record is from RNAcentral.
GGUCCAUCCGUGUACCCGGUUGCCCGAAUGUUCAAAUUCCCUCUAGCAUUCCUAAAGCGGGCCAAUCUGUUUGAUGCGGGUUAGGGCUUCAUCGAAAUCUUCAUACUCAGUGGGCCUAAAUCCAGUCCAUAAUUCUUCUUCAAAUACGGCCUAGCUAAUCUCGCGGCCUUCUUCCUUGUAAGUUUUGCUCAGCCACUGCCACCAACAAUUGGCUUCCCCUUCCAAGUGAGAUGAGGUGAGGGCCACCCGGUGUGAUGCAACCGUCGUUUGGAAAUCAAAAAAUUGAUUGACGCAAUUGAGCCACUCCGUGGGGUCGCCACCAGAAAAGGAUGGAAAUUCUAGUUUGGUGAGCUUCGGGUAGAAUGGUUGUCUUCUGUCAUCCCUUUCUAGCCCUUCUAUGUGGCGGAUUUACGUGAGAAUCAGGCAACUGAUAUGGUUGCUGCUGGAGCCCUCCCAGUUGGAAGCAAUCGCGUUGCUCAGCCGCUGAAGGUUUUCUUCAAUCAAACGGAGCUUGUCAGCCAUGCCGAUUUCUAGCCGGCUAACGCUAUCCUGCAAGCUACCGAGACCUACUUCCAAGUUCUCGACCUGCUCUUUGUUGGAAGUCAUGAUAUUCUAGCUCUAAUACCACUGACAGGUCCCAGUCAAAGCUAGUUUACAGUGAGGAUAAUUUUUCUGCUUAUGGUGAGAAAAGAACCAAGUUUUUCGAUUUUAAUUCGUUGCCUUUUUAUUCAGAAGCUGAUCGCUUAAAUACAGAAUUUUAAACCAAAUUCCCCACUCUUACAAACAAGAUAAACUCAAAUUCCUAAUUUUAUAAUCUGAUAAGAUAAACAGAAAAUUAACAAAUGCUGAAAACGUGAGAGUAGCUUCUGCUAAUAGUGGGUUUUUGACCGAGUCUGUUGGAGUGUAUUUUCAACACGUGCAGCACCUGUUUCCUUGUCUUUCAGUUCUAGUUUAAUCCAUAUAUUUUGGAUUCCUUCUUGGGAUCCUUUAGUAUUUUCUAGCCUUAUCAAAUUGUACUGACAUGAAGGAUCAAGUUGCAGCUUUGUUCACAAAAUGCUUGAGUUUACAAGUUUCUAUCAUCAGCCUGGGGUGGUGCUAAGAAUAGAAGUUGAUGUUGAGGAGGAGUGUUAAAGUUACAACACUAGUUAACACGUGGUCAUCAUUUUGACUGAGUUAGUGUCUAUCUUAGUUUAAUUUGUUACUAUAGAUGCUAGAUUUUAUCUCUACCCGUUAGUAGAGAAGUUAGUGACAGAGGAUAACAUCCAGUUUAAUGUCUAUUUUAGUUUGAUUUAUUGAGAUAAAUGUUAUAGAGUAUAUCUCUACCAAUAGUGAAAAAUUAGUGGCAAAGAAUAAAAUCGAGUUUAGUGUCUAUGUUAGUUUAAUUUAUUAAAAUAAAUGUUAGAGUUAUCUCUACCCAUUAGUGGAGAAGUUAGUGGACGAAAAUAAGAUGAAGUGACUUUUAUUUACAUUAAUUGUAUAAGGCAGCCCUUUUGCAUCAAAUGAAUCAAUUCUUUCGGAGCUUCAUUUUUGUUUUAAGAAAUAUAUUUCAUUGAGUACAUUUCUUCUCUGUAAUUUCGACGAUCAAACCUCCAAAAGAACUAAAAAUUAGCAUUUACCAAGAGUAGAGACCAAAAAAAUUAGCCUCUAUUAGCCAAAAAUUUAGAAAGUCAACCAUAAGUAGUAGCAAGAAAACAAGGUAAAAGCUGCACUAACCAUUACAACAUAUCACACAUAGCUCCAGUCUUCCCUAAUUUUUUCCAAAUUCACAAAAAAAAUUUCUUUUCCAACAUGAUCAUAUGGGU